This 118-nucleotide ribosomal RNA is filed under the name Pseudomonas cichorii. Lineage: Bacteria; Pseudomonadati; Pseudomonadota; Gammaproteobacteria; Pseudomonadales; Pseudomonadaceae. The record is from RNAcentral. RNAcentral also lists the same sequence under 1 other name.
UCUUGACGACCAUAGAGCAUUGGAACCACCUGAUCCCAUCCCGAACUCAGCAGUGAAACGAUGCAUCGCCGAUGGUAGUGUGGGGUUUCCCCAUGUGAGAGUAGGUCAUCGUCAAGAU